AACGAACGCUGGCGGCAUGCCUAACACAUGCAAGUCGAACGAGACCUUCGGGUCUAGUGGCGCACGGGUGCGUAACGCGUGGGAACCUGCCCUUAGGUUCGGAAUAACUCCCCGACAGGGGUGCUAAUACCGGAUAAUGUCUUCGGACCAAAGAUUUAUCGCCUUUGGAUGGGCCCGCGUUGGAUUAGCUAGUUGGUAGGGUAAAAGCCUACCAAGGCGACGAUCCAUAGCUGGUCUGAGAGGAUGAUCAGCCACACUGGGACUGAGACACGGCCCAGACUCCUACGGGAGGCAGCAGUGGGGAAUAUUGGACAAGGGGCGAAAGCCUGAUCCAGCAAUGCCGCGGGAGUGAUGAAGGCCUUAGGGUUGUAAAGCUCUUUUACCCGGGAUGAUAAUGACAGUACCGGGAGAAUAAGCGCCGGCUAACUCCGUG
This 433-nucleotide ribosomal RNA is filed under the name uncultured bacterium. Its description in RNAcentral is "partial 16S ribosomal RNA". It matches the Rfam family "Bacterial small subunit ribosomal RNA", at positions 29 to 507 of the family's 1533-position model. The record is from RNAcentral.